Molecule: ribosomal RNA, 2903 nt
Filed under: human gut metagenome
Description: bacterial LSU rRNA
Rfam family: Bacterial large subunit ribosomal RNA
Source: RNAcentral
UUAAGCGACUAAGCGUACACGGUGGAUGCCCUGGCAGUCAGAGGCGAUGAAGGACGUGCUAAUCUGCGAUAAGCGUCGGUAAGGUGAUAUGAACCGUUAUAACCGGCGAUUUCCGAAUGGGGAAACCCAGUGUGAUUCGUCACACUAUCAUUAACUGAAUCCAUAGGUUAAUGAGGCGAACCGGGGGAACUGAAACAUCUAAGUACCCCGAGGAAAAGAAAUCAACCGAGAUUCCCCCAGUAGCGGCGAGCGAACGGGGAGCAGCCCAGAGCCUGAAUCAGUGUGUGUGUUAGUGGAAGCGUCUGGAAAGGCGCGCGAUACAGGGUGACAGCCCCGUACACAAAAAUGCACAUGCUGUGAGCUCGAUGAGUAGGGCGGGACACGUGGUAUCCUGUCUGAAUAUGGGGGGACCAUCCUCCAAGGCUAAAUACUCCUGACUGACCGAUAGUGAACCAGUACCGUGAGGGAAAGGCGAAAAGAACCCCGGCGAGGGGAGUGAAAAAGAACCUGAAACCGUGUACGUACAAGCAGUGGGAGCCUCUUUAUGGGGUGACUGCGUACCUUUUGUAUAAUGGGUCAGCGACUUAUAUUCUGUAGCAAGGUUAACCGAAUAGGGGAGCCGAAGGGAAACCGAGUCUUAACUGGGCGUUAAGUUGCAGGGUAUAGACCCGAAACCCGGUGAUCUAGCCAUGGGCAGGUUGAAGGUUGGGUAACACUAACUGGAGGACCGAACCGACUAAUGUUGAAAAAUUAGCGGAUGACUUGUGGCUGGGGGUGAAAGGCCAAUCAAACCGGGAGAUAGCUGGUUCUCCCCGAAAGCUAUUUAGGUAGCGCCUCGUGAAUUCAUCUCCGGGGGUAGAGCACUGUUUCGGCAAGGGGGUCAUCCCGACUUACCAACCCGAUGCAAACUGCGAAUACCGGAGAAUGUUAUCACGGGAGACACACGGCGGGUGCUAACGUCCGUCGUGAAGAGGGAAACAACCCAGACCGCCAGCUAAGGUCCCAAAGUCAUGGUUAAGUGGGAAACGAUGUGGGAAGGCCCAGACAGCCAGGAUGUUGGCUUAGAAGCAGCCAUCAUUUAAAGAAAGCGUAAUAGCUCACUGGUCGAGUCGGCCUGCGCGGAAGAUGUAACGGGGCUAAACCAUGCACCGAAGCUGCGGCAGCGACGCUUAUGCGUUGUUGGGUAGGGGAGCGUUCUGUAAGCCUGUGAAGGUGUACUGUGAGGUAUGCUGGAGGUAUCAGAAGUGCGAAUGCUGACAUAAGUAACGAUAAAGCGGGUGAAAAGCCCGCUCGCCGGAAGACCAAGGGUUCCUGUCCAACGUUAAUCGGGGCAGGGUGAGUCGACCCCUAAGGCGAGGCCGAAAGGCGUAGUCGAUGGGAAACAGGUUAAUAUUCCUGUACUUGGUGUUACUGCGAAGGGGGGACGGAGAAGGCUAUGUUGGCCGGGCGACGGUUGUCCCGGUUUAAGCGUGUAGGCUGGUUUUCCAGGCAAAUCCGGAAAAUCAAGGCUGAGGCGUGAUGACGAGGCACUACGGUGCUGAAGCAACAAAUGCCCUGCUUCCAGGAAAAGCCUCUAAGCAUCAGGUAACAUCAAAUCGUACCCCAAACCGACACAGGUGGUCAGGUAGAGAAUACCAAGGCGCUUGAGAGAACUCGGGUGAAGGAACUAGGCAAAAUGGUGCCGUAACUUCGGGAGAAGGCACGCUGAUAUGUAGGUGAAGUCCCUUGCGGAUGGAGCUGAAAUCAGUCGAAGAUACCAGCUGGCUGCAACUGUUUAUUAAAAACACAGCACUGUGCAAACACGAAAGUGGACGUAUACGGUGUGACGCCUGCCCGGUGCCGGAAGGUUAAUUGAUGGGGUUAGCGGUAACGCGAAGCUCUUGAUCGAAGCCCCGGUAAACGGCGGCCGUAACUAUAACGGUCCUAAGGUAGCGAAAUUCCUUGUCGGGUAAGUUCCGACCUGCACGAAUGGCGUAAUGAUGGCCAGGCUGUCUCCACCCGAGACUCAGUGAAAUUGAACUCGCUGUGAAGAUGCAGUGUACCCGCGGCAAGACGGAAAGACCCCGUGAACCUUUACUAUAGCUUGACACUGAACAUUGAGCCUUGAUGUGUAGGAUAGGUGGGAGGCUUUGAAGUGUGGACGCCAGUCUGCAUGGAGCCGACCUUGAAAUACCACCCUUUAAUGUUUGAUGUUCUAACGUUGACCCGUAAUCCGGGUUGCGGACAGUGUCUGGUGGGUAGUUUGACUGGGGCGGUCUCCUCCUAAAGAGUAACGGAGGAGCACGAAGGUUGGCUAAUCCUGGUCGGACAUCAGGAGGUUAGUGCAAUGGCAUAAGCCAGCUUGACUGCGAGCGUGACGGCGCGAGCAGGUGCGAAAGCAGGUCAUAGUGAUCCGGUGGUUCUGAAUGGAAGGGCCAUCGCUCAACGGAUAAAAGGUACUCCGGGGAUAACAGGCUGAUACCGCCCAAGAGUUCAUAUCGACGGCGGUGUUUGGCACCUCGAUGUCGGCUCAUCACAUCCUGGGGCUGAAGUAGGUCCCAAGGGUAUGGCUGUUCGCCAUUUAAAGUGGUACGCGAGCUGGGUUUAGAACGUCGUGAGACAGUUCGGUCCCUAUCUGCCGUGGGCGCUGGAGAACUGAGGGGGGCUGCUCCUAGUACGAGAGGACCGGAGUGGACGCAUCACUGGUGUUCGGGUUGUCAUGCCAAUGGCACUGCCCGGUAGCUAAAUGCGGAAGAGAUAAGUGCUGAAAGCAUCUAAGCACGAAACUUGCCCCGAGAUGAGUUCUCCCUGACUCCCUGAGAGUCCUGAAGGAACGUUGAAGACGACGACGUUGAUAGGCCGGGUGUGUAAGCGCAGCGAUGCGUUGAGCUAACCGGUACUAAUGAACCGUGAGGCUUAACCUU